Molecule: ribosomal RNA, 434 nt
Filed under: uncultured bacterium
Lineage: Bacteria
Description: partial 16S ribosomal RNA
Rfam family: Bacterial small subunit ribosomal RNA
Source: RNAcentral
AGCGAACGCUGGCGGCAGGCUUAACACAUGCAAGUCGAGCGGGCACUCUCGGGUGUCAGCGGCGGACGGGUGAGCAACGCGGGGGGACGCGCCCGCGGGUUCGGAAUAACUCAGGGAAACUUGAGCUAAUACCGGAUACGCCCUUUGGGGGAAAGGCUUGCUGGCGGAGGAUGGGCCCGCGUCUGAUUGGGGAGGUGGUGGGGUAACGGCUCACCAAGGCGGGGAGCAGUAGCGGGGCUGAGAGGAGGAUCAGCCGGACUGGGACUGGGACACGGCCCCGACUCGUAGGGGAGGUGGCAGUGGGUAAUAUUGGGCAGUGGGCGCAAGCCUGAUCCGGCCCUGGCGCGUGGGUGAUGAAGGGCUUAGGGUUGUAAAGCUCUUUUGUCCGGGACGAUAUGGCCGGAACCGGAGGAAUAGGCCCCGCCUACCUUCUU